This 73-nucleotide transfer RNA is filed under the name Spiroplasma syrphidicola EA-1. It matches the Rfam family "tRNA". From Rfam's summary of the family: Transfer RNA (tRNA) molecules are approximately 80 nucleotides in length. Their secondary structure includes four short double-helical elements and three loops (D, anti-codon, and T loops). Lineage: Bacteria; Bacillati; Mycoplasmatota; Mollicutes; Entomoplasmatales; Spiroplasmataceae. The record is from Rfam by way of RNAcentral.
AGGGGUGUAGUUCAAUCGGUAGAACAGCGGACUUCAAAUCCGUUGGUUGUGGGUUCAAGUCCUGUCACCCCUG